Molecule: ribosomal RNA, 433 nt
Filed under: uncultured bacterium
Lineage: Bacteria
Description: partial 16S ribosomal RNA
Rfam family: Bacterial small subunit ribosomal RNA
Source: RNAcentral
AACGAACGCUGGCGGCAUGCCUAACACAUGCAAGUCGAACGAAACCUUCCGGUCUAUUGGCGCACGGGUGCUUAACGCGUGGGAACCUACCCUUAGGUUCGGAAUAACUCCCCGAAAGGGGUGCUAAUACCGGAUAAUGUCUUCGGACCAAAGAUUUAUCGCCUUUGGAUGGGCGCGCGUUGGUUUAGCUAGUUGGUAGGGUAAAAGCAUACCAAGGCGAAGUUGCUUAGCUGGUCUGAGAGGAGGACCAGCCACACUGGGACUGAGACACGGCCCAGACUCCUAGGGAAGGGAGCAGAGGGGAAUACUGGACGAUGGGCGAAAGCCUAAUACAGCAGUGUGGCGUAAGUGAUGAAGGCGUUAGGGUUGUAAAGCUCUCUUAGACGGGAUGAUAAUGACGGUACCGGGAGAAUAAGCUCCGGCUAACUACGUG